This 21-nucleotide microRNA is filed under the name Columba livia (rock pigeon). Its description in RNAcentral is "cli-miR-9615-5p". The record is from miRBase by way of RNAcentral. Lineage: Eukaryota; Metazoa; Chordata; Aves; Columbiformes; Columbidae.
UCUCCCAUGGCUGUAUAACCC